UGCGUAGGCGGCUCUUUAAGUCAGUGGUGAAAUCUUGCCGCUUAACGGUAAAAUUGCCAUUGAUACUGAAGAGCUUGAGUACAGUUGAGGUAAGCGGAAUGUGUAGUGUAGCGGUGAAAUGCUUAGAUAUUACACAGAACACCAAUUGCGAAGGCAGCUUACUAAACUGUUACUGACGCUGAUGCACGAAAGCGUGGGGAGCGAACAGGAUUAGAUACCCUGGUAGUCCACGCCGUAAACGAUGCCCACUCGCUGUUUGCGAUACACAGCAAGCGGCCAAGCGAAAGCAUUAAGUGAGCCACCUGGGGAGUACGAUCGCAAGGUUGAA
RNAcentral lists this ribosomal RNA (328 nucleotides) under uncultured bacterium. RNAcentral's name for it is "bacterial SSU rRNA". It matches the Rfam family "Bacterial small subunit ribosomal RNA", at positions 568 to 898 of the family's 1533-position model. The record is from RNAcentral.